UAUAUAUUAAAAAAAAGGGAGGAAAAAUGGUUCAAUCGUGUUCUUCUUCUACUUGACUCCUCAUUUCCAAUUCAACUGAGAACCGCGUCGGAGCAGCUUGCUUUGGACGCUGAACAAAAUCUUCAAUUCCAUCGCCACUGAAGGUGCAUCACACUUUUGUAACUGCAUGGUGCUUUUAAUAUCUGGGACGAGGAUAGCUGUGAGAUCUCACGUCGGUUGGGAAGGAGAACGAAACAUUAUUUAUAAGGGUAUGAUAUGGUACCCCUACAGAUUGAAAUCUCUUGCUAGCGAACUGUGGGAAUCCUUCUCUUCCCAAUAUUUUUCUUUUUAAAUUAAGGUUUAAAGAACAGAGGGGUGGGAUUUAUAUAGGUAUGCUACGAUUGGAGUAAAGGGGCAGAAAAUCACAACCCUGCAACAGCCAAGACCUUCAUUUACUUGCACCUACAGCAGGCACUUGGUUGGAGUGCAUAAUUUUGAUGAUUUCUGUACUUGUUUAGAAUGUUCUUGCAGGCUUAGAAUUUCCCCCCUUCGAAUGUAUCCUAUUCUCUGAUGUCAAAUUACUACUAGGUUUGACGAGGCAGCACAAAUUUUGAAUAUAUUUUUACUUCAGUUCCUA
This is a long non-coding RNA of Cucurbita maxima (winter squash), 616 nucleotides long. RefSeq lists it as uncharacterized. The record is from RefSeq and is a predicted model, not a curated record. NCBI's taxonomy places the organism in Eukaryota, Viridiplantae, Streptophyta, Magnoliopsida, Cucurbitales, Cucurbitaceae. The transcript is spliced from 3 exons.